RNAcentral lists this long non-coding RNA (6468 nucleotides) under Zostera marina. RNAcentral's name for it is "long non-coding RNA (ZMAR_LNC004846)". The record is from RNAcentral. Lineage: Eukaryota; Viridiplantae; Streptophyta; Magnoliopsida; Alismatales; Zosteraceae.
UUGUUUUAGGCCAUAUAGUGAUUUGUUUAAUUUGCAGAUGGGGUUGUGUGGUGCAUUUUUGGGUAGUUCUAAUCCCAAUGGGAUUUUCAUAUAUAUGUUUUCUUCUAAGUUUCCAUGUAGGAAUGCAUUUUGGACAUCCAUUUGAUGCAUGUCCCAUUUUUGUGCUACUGCUAUAGCUAUGACAGUCCUUAAGGUUGUCAUUUUAGAUACGGGGGCAAAGGUUUCAUUGAAGUCAAUGCCUUCAAUUUGGUUGUAACCUUUGGCUACUAAUCUAGCCUUAUAUUUUUCAAUGCUUCCAUCACUGUUAAAUUUUGUUUUAUAGACCCAUUUGCAUCCAAUGGGUUUCUUGUCAUUAGGCAUGCUUGUGAUGGUCCAUGUUUGGUUAUGUUCAAGAGCCUGUAGUUCUUGCUUCAUAGCAUUGUUCCAUUUCAUGUGUUUGGAUGCUUCCUUGUAGGAAGUUGGAUCCAAAUUGUUCUUUAUUGUUGUUAAAAAUGCAGAGUGUUCGGGGGUAAAGUAUUGAGAAGAGAGCAUGUUCUCAAUUGGGUGUCUAGUGGAUGCUGCUUGUAGAGAGAAGUCUUUUAAGUAUGAUGGUGUUUUCCUAUUUCUUUUUGGUCUUGGUGCAUCCUCUUCUGGGAUGCUUGGUGCAUUCUCUGUUUCAUGUUGUGUUUCUGGGAUUAUUGGUGUGUCCUCUUCUUGUGAAGGAGGUGUGAGUGUGUAUGUGUUCUCAUCUGAUCUGUUGUCUGUCUCUGAUGUAUCAAAGAUGUUUUCUUGAUACUGUUCUGUUUGUUCUUUGAAGGGAAAGAUGUCUUCAAAGAAUGUUACAUCCCUGUUUGUAAAGAUUUCUUGGGUGGAUGUAUCUAGUAUGUUGUAUCCUUUCCUUUGAGGAGAAUAUCCAAUGAAUAUUCCCUUUAUUGACCUGUUGUCAAAUUUUGAUUUUGUUUUAUUAUUUGUGGCAUAACAUAGACACCCAAAUACUUUUAGGAUGUCUAAAUUUGGUUGUUCCCCAAAUAGUCUGAAAAAUGGAGUUUCAUUAUCUAAUACUACAGCUGGGGUCCUGUUUAUUAGGAAGACAGCUGUUUUGAUGCAUUCCCCCCAAUACUUUAGGGGAAUGUUAGAUUGGAUCAUUAGUGACCUAGCCACUUGUAGUAUGUGUUGAUGUUUUCUUUCAACUCUUCCAUUUUGUUGUGGGGUAUAUGGACAUGACAGUUGGUGUGCUAUACCAUCUGUUUUAAUUAUGUUUUGGAAUUCUUUGGAUAAGAAUUCUGUACCAUUGUCUGACCUUAUGGUAUGGACAAUGGUUUGGUGUUGGUUUUUAAUGUUUGUUAGAAAUUGUUUGAAUUUGAUGGAUGUUUCUGACUUGUUUAUCAUUAGGAAGACCCAAGUUGCUCUGGAAUAAUCAUCCACUAUGGUUAGGAAGUAGUUAUUUCCUUGAUGUGUAGGAGUGUGGAAUUUUCCCCAUAUGUCUAAGUGUAAUAAUUGAAAGCACCUUGUUGUUUUAUUUGAACUUAGAGAAAAAGGGAGCCUUGUCUGUUUGGACAGUGGGCAUGUAUUACAAAAAAUUUUAAAAUUCUUUGGAAUACAAUUGUUUAAGAUAUUAAAAUGAUAAAAUCUAGAGGGUGCUGGAUGUCCUAGCCUCUGGUGCCAUAUCUCUUCAUCCUUUGUUUCCUUCUGUUGGCUGUGAUUGGCCUGAUUGUCAUGCUUUAGGAUGUAGAGUCCAUUCUUCUUCUCACCCCCACCAAUCCGGUUUCCCUGUUGGUCCUAUAUGGAACAGAAAGUAGGGUGGAAGGUGAAUGAGCAUUUGAUAUCCUUUGUUAGUUGGCUUACAGAGAGUAGGUUGACUGAGAAUGAUGGGAUCUUUAAGACAUUGUUUAAGGUAAUGUCUUUUGUGAUUUGAGUGGAGCCACUAACUGAGACUUUAGUGGUUUGUGAAUUUGGGAGAUGAAUGUUUAUAGGGUAUAGUAGAUUUUUUUCAUUGUUUAAGCUGGUAUUGGGGGCACACAUGUGGUCUGUUGCCCCUGUGUCAAUGAUCCACUGAUCAUUCUGUGAUUGGGUGCAUGCUGUAGUGUUUAGUGAGUAAUGUGGGUUGAAGCAUGUGUUGUUUUUAUAGUAAAACGUACCAGAAGUGCUACCAGACAUGUGAGCUUGUGGUUGAUUUUCCUUUUGGAUUCCUCCCUGGGAGAGUAUGGAGAUUAGCUCUUCUCUAGUGAUGAAGUUUCCUGAAGUCUGUGGAUUUUCAGAGGUUUGUGCUUCAUCUUCUGCGUUGACAUUGUUGCUUUGGUACUUCUUGUAUCCUUUGUUGGAUUUGUAGCCUUUUUUGUUAUUGUACCUUAUGUUGUUUUCCUUUCUUUUGUUGAAGUCCACCCCGUGUAGUCCAUGGCCUGGUGGGAAACCAUUUUCAUAGAAGCAGUUUUCUAUGCUGUGAUUAUGUUUCUUGCAUCUUGUGCAGUAUGGUUUAGAGUCUUCACUUUGGUUUUGUGGUUUUGGUGUGAAGUUACUCUUAGAUUGUGUGACCAGGGCAGUUCCCUCUUCAGGGUAGACACAUUCCCUUUGUGUCUCUUCUUGAAGUACCAUUCUGAAGGCAUCAUCCACAGAUGGAGGGGUCUUCUUUUUGAGUAUUUGGCCUCUUAUCGAUAGAAAGGUAUCGUUUAGGCCAGUUGUGAAUGUGAUCAACCUGUCCAUAUUCUCCCUUUGAAUGCAGUUAGGGUUGUUACAGCAUUCAAAGAUCUGAUUGUUGUCCAAUUCAUUCCAUAGGCCUUGCAACUUUGCAUAAUAGUUGCUGACAGAUUCACUUCCUUGAGUACAAAGUGCAAUCUGUCUUUUCAGUUGUGAAAUGACCAGUGAAUUGGCCCUGCUGUAUUUUUGUUUGAGGUUUUCCCAGAGGGUGGUGGCAUCUUUUAUGAAGAUUACACUUCCUCUGAUCUCCUUUGCACAGCUGUUGAGUAUCCAUGCAGUUACCAGGUCAUUACAUCUGGUCCAAGGGGUGUAGUAGUUGUCUGUGUUAUUGAUUGGUUUGGUGAUGGAUCCAUUUAUGAAUCCUAGCUUGUUUUUGGUAGAUAAUGAUCUUUGGAUCUCUACCACCCAUGUCUGAUAGUUUGGUCCACUAAGUGGAGUUGUCACCAGGCCUAAGCUUGGGUUAUCACUACCUGAUAUGUAGUAUGGGCUUCCAUCCUUUAUUUUUAGCUCAUCAUUCUUUGUUUCCAUUUGCAGAUAGAAAUGAAAGAAGAGCAAGGAGGUUAAUGCGAAGACACACUAGGAAUCUUAGGAGAAUGAGAGAGCUGAGAAGACACAAUAUGGAUGUGGAAGCUCUUGAGUAUUUUGGUGAUGUGGAAGAUGUGUACUCUUCCUCUGAUUCUGAAUAUGAAAGGCCUGUUCCUGUGUUGGAUCUUGAUUUUCCCUCAGACAGUGAUGGUGAGGAUGGUGUGGUGUGUCAACAAUAUCUUUAUGACUUUGAUAGUGAUGACUCUAUGCCUGAUUAUGAAAUGUGGAGUGAUCCAGAUGUGGGUCUGAACUCUGAUGGAGAAAAGAUUAAUGGUGUUUUGGCUGUGGAGAUUCCACUGCCUCCUCGUUCUCCUCAAGAAUUCUUUGAUAAUAUCUGGAGGAACAGAGUUGUUUUUGAUGAUUGAAAGACUUGAUUGACUGUCCUUCCUCUUUUUGGUUUGAAACAGCUUGCUCUUUUUGGUGUGGUGACUGUUUCUUUUCUCUUUAUAGUUUCUCUUUGUAGAGAAAAAAAAACAAUAGCAGAAAAAUAUUUUGUAGGUUUCAGGAUGAAGCCUCCUCUGAUACCAUGAUAGAGAAUUGGUAUAGAUGAUAUGAUCAAACAAUCAUAUAAAUAUGUAAUACUUAAGCAAUUCAAAUGAUGAAUGGAAAUAUAUAUGAUGCUUAAGUAUAUAAAUAUGUAAAUUGUUGAUACUGUUGGAUGAUCGAUUGAUUGGAAUGUAGCUCGAUUAUCCAACAAAUGAUCUGCAGGUUUGAUGAUGUAAUUGCGGAAGUAUUUGAGCAGCAGCAAAGUGUUGUUGAAGAACAGAGUGUGUGUGUGUGUGUAUGGUUGAUGGUGAUAGUGAAAACGUUAAAUUCUAAUGAAGGCUUAGGUAGGUUUAAAUACUAAACACCCAACGGCUAUGUUGGUGUUUGGUAUUAAUUAUAAUGAGGAAAUAGAAUCAAUGAUGGAUAUGGAAUUAAUGAUAUAUGGGAAUUCCUAGAAAAGGAAUGUGAGAAGUCAUGGGAUUGUAUAUAUGCAGUAAGGAUGUAUCUGUAAUACAUCUAUAACUUUGGGGUUUUGGUAUAUAUAUAUAUGCAUUAUAAUAUGUGUAUAACUUAGGGGUUUGAAAAUAGUAUUUACAUUAAGGGUAUAUUUAUAAUUUUAAUUCUUUAUGGGGUUACAUUUCUAAUAUCCUCCCUCAAAUUAAAAGCGGUUAGGUUUUUAAUUUGAAAAAGAAUGAGAUGUAGAGUUGCAACCCUUGGGUCGAAUCAGAGGCGGUUCGCCUGGAUUCUUGAGCCUGGGUUGUGUACAUCUAGCAGUUGCAAUUUUUGGAGUAAAUUGCGAAAAGUUGGUCCUCCCAGGGGUUUUGUGAAAAAGUCCCCAACGUUUUGUGCACUGGGAAUGUGCUUCAAUACAACCUCUCCCGCUAAAACCUUGUCGCGCACUGUGUGGAGAUCGAUUUCUAUGUGUUUGGUUCUCUGGUGAGAGAUAGGGUUUUUGGCUAUUGCCUCUGCCGCAGUGCUGUCAGUAAGUAUCCUUGGAGCUGGUGAUUCUCCGAUCAGGUAUACUCCUAUUUCUUGUAGCAGCAUUUUUAACCAUGUUACUUCACAUGUCGUGUAUGCUAAUGCACGAUAUUCGGCCUCUGCUGAUGAUCUUGAUGCCGUUUGUUGUUUCUUUGAUUUCCAUGAUAUCAAUGAUGAUCCUAGGAAUAUGGCGAAUCCAGACGUUGAUCGUCUCGUAGUGGGACAACUUGCCCAAUCAGAGUCUGUAAAUGCUCCUAUGUGGUCUAUUGAGGAGCCUGAUGAGAAGUGCAAACCUAAUCCAGGUGAUCCUUUGAUGUAUUUUAAAACUCUGUAUGCUGCUUUCAUAUGUGAUUCAGUAGGUAUUGUCAUGUGUUGGCUUAGAUAUGUUACAGCAUAGGAUAUGUCUGGUCUUGUGCAUGUUAGGUAUACUAGUUUUCCUACUAUGCUUCUAUAUUUUUGUGGAUCCUCCAGUAUGGUUUCAUUUUCUUUUAUUUUGUUUGAUUGCAUUGGAGUUUUGUUUAGAAAAUUUUCUUUAUUAGGGCAAUCUGUAAUUUUAUCUGUUUUGUGUUUGGAUAUUUGUUUGUGACUGUUUGGGGUUUUAUUUGGUUUGCAUUGUGUGAGUUCAUAUUUUUCAAGUAGGUCUAAUGUGUAUUUUCUCUGGCCAAUGUAUAGACCAUUUGAUGUUUUGGUGAAUUCGAGUCCUAGGAAGUAUUUGAGUUCUCCAAGAUCUUUAAUUUUAAAGAUUUCUUGGAGGUUUUCUUUUAGAGUUUUAAUUGUGUUUAUGUUGUUGCCUGUGAUGAGGAGGUCAUCAACAUAUGCUAAUACAAUUGUGGUUUCUUGUUUGUUUUUGUUUAUGAACAGAGAAUAGUCUGUUUUGCAUUGCUUGUAUCCAAGGUUGGAUAAUGCAUUUGAUAGAGUUUGGUACCAAACUCUUGAUGCUUGUUUUAGGCCAUAUAGUGAUUUGUUUAAUUUGCAGAUGGAGUUGUGUGGUGCAUUUUUGGGUAGUUCUAAUCCCAAUGGGAUUUUCAUAUAUAUGUUUUCUUCUAAGUUUCCAUGUAGGAAUGCAUUUUGGACAUCCAUUUGAUGCAUGUCCCAUUUUUGUGCUACUGCUAUAGCUAUGACAGUCCUUAAGGUUGUCAUUUUAGAUACGGGGGCAAAGGUUUCAUUGAAGUCAAUGCCUUCAAUUUGGUUGUAACCUUUGGCUACUAAUCUAGCCUUAUAUUUUUCAAUACUUCCAUCACUGUUAAAUUUUGUUUUAUAGACCCAUUUGCAUCCAAUGGGUUUCUUGUCAUUAGGCAUGCUUGUGAUGGUCCAUGUUUGGUUAUGUUCAAGAGCCUGUAGUUCUUGCUUCAUAGCAUUGUUCCAUUUCAUGUGUUUGGAUGCUUCCUUGUAGGAAGUUGGAUCCAAAUUGUUCUUUAUUGUUGUUAAAAAUGCAGAGUGUUCGGGGGUAAAGUAUUGAGAAGAAAGCAUGUUCUCAAUGGGGUGUCUAGUGGAUGCUGCUUGUAGAGAGAAAUCUUUUAAGUAUGAUGGUGUUUUCCUGUUUCUUUUUGGUCUUGGUGCAUCCUCUUCUGGGAUGCUUGGUGCAUUCUCUGUUUCAUGUUGUGUUUCUGGGAUUAUUGGUGUGUCCUCUUCUUGUGAAGGAGGUGUGAGUGUGUAUGUGUUCUCAUCUGAUGUAUUAUCUGUCUCUGAUGUAUCAAAAAUGUUUUCUUGAUACUGUUCUGUUUGUUCUUUGAAGGGAAAGAUGUC